AGAGUUUGAUCAUGGCUCAGGAUGAACGCUAGCGGCAGGCUUAACACAUGCAAGUCGAGGGGCAGCACAGGUAGCAAUACUGGGUGGCGACCGGCGCACGGGUGCGUAACGCGUAUACAAUCUACCUUUUGCUGAGGGAUAGCCCAGAGAAAUUUGGAUUAACCCCUCAUAGUAUUAUUGAGUGGCAUCAUUUAAUAAUUAAAGGUUACGGCAAAAGAUGAGUAUGCGUCCUAUUAGCUAGUUGGUACGGUAACGGCGUACCAAGGCUACGAUAGGUAGGGGUCCUGAGAGGGAGAUCCCCCACACUGGUACUGAGACACGGACCAGACUCCUACGGGAGGCAGCAG
This 347-nucleotide ribosomal RNA is filed under the name uncultured bacterium. Its description in RNAcentral is "bacterial SSU rRNA". It matches the Rfam family "Bacterial small subunit ribosomal RNA", at positions 8 to 354 of the family's 1533-position model. The record is from RNAcentral.